GUCUAUGGCCAUACCACCCUGAAUACACAGAAUCUCAUCUGAUCUCCGAAGCUAAGCAGGGUUGGGCCUGGUUAGUAAUUGGAUGGGAGAAUUUAUCUGUAGUUC
RNAcentral lists this ribosomal RNA (105 nucleotides) under Nannospalax galili (Upper Galilee mountains blind mole rat). The record is from RNAcentral. Lineage: Eukaryota; Metazoa; Chordata; Mammalia; Rodentia; Spalacidae.